CUCCUCCAAAUCUUUCGGGUAAGGUAUGGAUUCUCACCUGUUUUUCGUGCUCUAGCUGGUGGUUGGAUAGGUUUUCUUCAAUUUUAGCCGUAGAUUGCCCAGUUUGUGAAUUGAAAUUCUGCCGAGUUUCGGCCCCCGUGAUCGGCCAUUUUCGGCCACUUUUUGGGGUAUGUCCAAGAACAAAAGUGGCUCCAAAUGUGGUGUUAUACCUAGGAUAGGAGUUUGGAGUCUUGUUUCCGAGUUUUUCCGACAACCCGGUAUCGCUUUGGACACCCAAUCUGCCCACGCGUGUGGCGGCGCGUGGGUGAGGGUGGUAAAGAGACUCUGUGUAGUUUUACGAUCCUCGUGCUGUCACGAGCGCGUAGGAUUUCGCGGAUCUCGAUUCGGAGUCCGUUUGAGCCCCGAACGGAUUUUCCAUAUUGCGCAAUCCUUGGGUGCAGUGUCUUCGAGUCGUUGGAUCGCACUCAAUUUUGGAUAUGUCGUACUACAUGAUUCCAGGAUCGUGUAGGAUUCGACGGAUUACGAAUCGGAGUCCCGGAUACUCCGAAAUCGCGAACCCUAGGGCUAGGGUUUGGAUUUUAAGCGAUAACGCGAUUUUGGCUAAUCCGACUGUCCGUUUCGGACCAAAUUCGCGGAACAUGGUUCUUUCUCUAUGAGGAACCUUUAGAGAAUCUCAGAUUGGCCAUCGGGGAUCGUGGACCCCACGGGGUCCCGGAUCGACCCGUCUGACGGUUUACCGUGUAGUCUAAUUUCGGGUCUUCCAAGACCGCUCUAAGUGUCUGAAAAGCUAAAGUGAGCAUAGGAGUAACUUGAAAUAAGUGCACGCACUUCUAGAAGCCGGGGGCAGGGUGUUUAAUUUAAUUCUUUUUAUUCAGCAGUUUAUUAAUUUAUUAUUCUUGGUUAAUCAGGCACUAGAGAUCCGAUCGACCCGCAGGAGGGACCUUCGAAGGGUCCAACUAGCUCGGACCAUCAGUGAGUGGACUUUUCUUUCCGAAAAAGAUUUUAUAAUUAUAUUUUAUAUUUGAUCUUGAAUAAGUGUUAUUACGUAAUUUCGAAGCAUGAUUUGCAUUGUGAAAUAUCUUUAUUUUUAUAAUAUUGGUUGAGCAGUAAACUUGAGACUUUUGAUACAAAGAUAGUAAUUUAGUUCAGACUUAUCAGAUUUCAGAGAGUUAUCAGAAUUUCUAGUUAAACCACCAUGUACCCAUCUAUUUAUGGUGAUUACCCACAGUCGGACCGAUGUCUACGGACAUCCAGUUUGAUUUCAGUUACAUCAGUGCACUUGACUUUGCCUCACGAGUUUCGGGGACGCUCGGACCGUGAGUGCCAGGAUUUGCGGCUCGGCAGACUUGGUGUCCCGAAACCUGCCAGGAUUUGCGGCUCGGUUGACUCUGUGUCCCCGAGACCUGCCAGGAUUGCGGAUCAGGCUGACUGCGGUCCCCUGCAUCCUGCCAGAGCGGCUCGAGUCGACUUGGUGUCAUCGAGGCCUGCCGGCGGAUCAGGCUGAUCAUAGUCCCUUGAUUUCGCCAGUUUGCGGCUCGGGUAGACUGCGUGACGCCCGAGACCUGCCAGGGGAAUUGACGGAUAUGACAGGGGUACAUCUAGGUGGUAGUUUCAAAGGAUUUUGAGCUCUUUUAUCCAGUUAUGAUUUCCCGUGAUUUUAUACCAGUUUCUUGAUAUUCAUGCGUUAUUAUCUUUAUAUAUAUUUGAUCAGUUGUGCAAGUCUAUUCGUCAGUAUAUUUAUUCAUGUUUAUUGAAUUCCUUAUAUUGAAAUAUAGCUAAAUUAACGAUUUAUAUCCCUAGUAUUUCAAAACGGGGGUUAUUAUGUUCUAACUUGUUUUUUUUAAAGAACUUUAUUUUUGUCCACUCACAAUUUUAAACUUGUUUUUCGCCCCCAGGCCGUAGAAAUACGAAGGAAACCACUCGGGCCAUCUUCCCAGCUUCUGCCCCACCACCCAAGUGUAGGAUUUCAUUGUAAAUUUCUUAAAGUUCUGUAAAUGUGCAGAAAUGCUCUGAUAUCUAGUUGGAA
RNAcentral lists this long non-coding RNA (2026 nucleotides) under Prunus persica (peach). RNAcentral describes it as "long non-coding RNA (PPER_LNC006169)". The record is from RNAcentral. Lineage: Eukaryota; Viridiplantae; Streptophyta; Magnoliopsida; Rosales; Rosaceae.